AUGGAUUGGAAGUAUAUCAGAUCCUGCAAAACAUCUCUUUUGGAGGAAGGACAAGGUGCACUUAUACAGCAGCCUGGAAAUGCUUGUUUUGCUUCUGGGUUAUACAGAUUUCAGCUUCCAGAGUUGAUAAGCCUGAACCUUUUGUGGUGGUGGGACCCUCUUCUAGUAUGUGAUCUACAACGAGCUACACUGAAUCAUACGAUGACAAUGUUAUCACUGCCACAUCUCUGGAAACCUGUUAUUCAUAAUUAUACGUAUAUUCCCAGUGGAGCACCUCAUUCAGUUUGGCAGGAAAGAUGA
This 300-nucleotide long non-coding RNA is filed under the name Apteryx rowi (Okarito brown kiwi). Its description in RNAcentral is "lncRNA (ENSARWG00000012153.1)". Lineage: Eukaryota; Metazoa; Chordata; Aves; Apterygiformes; Apterygidae. The record is from RNAcentral.